CAUAUGUGAAAGUUAUGGUUGUUUUAAUAACGGACUCCGAAUUAGAGGACAAAACGGUGCGAAAGUGGGAAAAAAUUUCGGCAGUGGCUAGAAAUUGAUGGAAACGGUGGGGAAAAACACACGAACUGGACUCUAACAAGACCUAACCAGCAACAAGACAUCGACUAGGACACAAACUCAACACUGCGGACUCUAAGACUAAAAUAUGCAAAGGCUAUGGCUUGAAAGGUUUGUAGGACAGGAAAACGAUAUGACACUGGACUUAUGGGACGAACACAAGAACACUCAAAACUAAGGAUAGAUGUGAAUCUAACGAUAUACCUAAAGCUUUGAUUACCACUUGAUGAGAACAAGGGUGGCCUGAUCUUCCGAAAGGUUCUAGUAACUCUCGAUUUGGUGGAGACGAGACACAAAUCGAUUUGGCUUUCGAACAACCCGAUCCGAAACCCUGCAUUUUUUUUAUUUUUUUUAUAUUUUUCUUUUACCUAGGAGCACUAAAAAGUAACCACAAAAAAUUUGUGCUUAAACAAGUGAAAGACGUGGCCUGCAGAAUUUUCUGAAGAUUGCGAAAAAUGUGAAAAAACUUCAUGAGGAGAAAACUCAAACUUUGGAGGCAAAUUUUAAGAUAAAAUUAUCGAACCCGCUAAAGUCACAUACAGACAGAUCUGAAAUUUUUUUAUGAUCGAAUUUGAUAUAGGUAACGUUGAAAUCAGAGUUUGUAUGUGAAAGUUAUGGUUUGUUUACAAAUGCACUCCGAAAUAGAGGAAAAACGGUCCAGAAGUGGGAAAAAUUUGCGGCGCUGGCUAGAAAUUGAUGAAAAUAGUGGGGAAAAACACACGAACAGGACUCUAACAAGACCCAACCAGCAACAAGACCUCGACCAGGACACAAACUCAACACUGCGGACUCUGAAACUGAAAUAUGCAAAAGCUACGGCGCGGAAGGGAUGUAGGACAAGAAAACGAUAUGGCACUAGACUUAUGGGACGAACACAAGAACACUCGAAACUAAGGGUAGAUGUGAACCUAACGGUAUACCUGAAGCUUUGAUUACCACUUGAUGAGAACAAGGGUGGCCCGAUCUUCCGAAAGGUUCUGGUAACUCUCGAUUUAGUGGAGACGAGACACAAAUCGAUCCGGCUUCAGAACAACACGAUCCAAAACCCUACAAUUUUUUUUAUUUUUUUUGAUAUUUUAUUUUACUUAGGAGCACUAAAGAAGUAACCACGGAAAAUUUGAGCUUAAACAAGUGAAAGACAUGGCCUGCGGAAUUUUCUGAAGAUUGCGAAAAAUGUGAAAAAAACUUCACGAGGUUAAAACUCAAACUUCGGAGGCGAAUUUGGAGAUUCUAAAAUUUUCAAGCCCGCUAGUACUAGGGACAGGCAGAUCCAAAAAUUUUUCUGAUCGAUUUUGAUAUAUAGAACGUUGAAAUCAGAGUUCGUUGCGAAAGUUGUGGCUGUUUUAUGAACAGACUCCAAAUUAGAGGACAAAACGGUCUGAAAGUGGGAAAAAAUUGUGGCGGUGGCUAGAAAUUGAUGGAAACGGUGGGAAAAAACACACGAACUAGACUCUAACAAGACCUAACCAGCAACAAGACCUCAACUAGGACACAAACUCAACACCGCGGACUCUGAAACUGAAAUAUGAAAAGGCUAUGGCACGGAAGGGUUGUAGAACAGGAAAACAAUAUGGCACUAUACUUAUGGGACAAACACAAGAACACUCAAAACUAAGAGUAGAUGUGAACCUAACGGUAUACCUAAAGCUUUGAUUACCACUUGAUGAGAACAAGGGUGACCCGAUCUUCCGAAAGGUUCUAGUAACUCUCGAUUUGGUGGAGACGAGACACAAAUCGAUUUGGCUUUCGAACAACACGAUCCGAAACCCUGCAUUUUUUUAUUUUUUUUAUAUUUUUCUUUUACCUAGGAGCACUAAAAAGUAACCACAAAAAAUUUGUGCUUAAACAAGUGAAAGACGUGGCCUGCAGAAUUUUCUAAAGAUUGCGAAAAAUGUGAAAAAACUUCAUGAGGAGAAAACUCAAACUUUGGAGGCAAAUUUCAAGAUAAAAUUAUCAAACCCGCUAAAGUCACAGACAGACAGAUCUGAAAUUUUUUUAUGCUCGAAUUUGAUAUAGGUAACGUUGAAAUCAGAGUUUGUAUGUGAAAGUUAUGGUUUGUUUACAAAUGCACUUCGAAAUACAGGAAAAAACGGUCCACAAGUGGGAAAAAUUUGCGGCGCUGGCUAGAAAUUGAUGGAAACGGUGGGGAAAACACACGAACUGGACUCUAACAAGACCUAACCAGCAACAAGACCUCGACCAGGACACAAACUCAACACUGCGGACUCUGAAACUGAAAUAUGCAAAGGUUAUGGCGCGGAAGGGAUGUAGGACAAGAAAACGAUAUGGCACUGGACUUAUGGGACGAACACAAGAACACUCAAAACUAAGGGUAGACGUGAACCUAACGGUAUACCUGAAGCUUUGAUUACCACUUGAUGAGAACAAGGGUGGCCCGAUCUUUCGAAAGGUUCUGGUAACUCUCGAUUUAGUGGAGACGAGAUACAAAUCGAUCCGGCUUCGGAACAACACGAUCCGAAACCCUGCAAUUUUUUUUAUUUUUUUGAUAUUUUAUUUUACUUAGGAGCACUAAAGAAGUAACCACAAAAAAUUUGAGCUUAAACAAGUGAAAGACAUGGCCUGCGGAAUUUUCUGAAGAUUGCGAAAAAUAUGAAAAAAACUUCACGAGGUUAAAACUCAAACUUCGGAGGCGAAUUUGGAGAUUCUAAAAUUUUCAAGCCCGCUAGUACUAGGGACAGGCAGAUCCAAAAAUUUUUCUGAUCGAUUUUGAUAUAUAGAACGUUGAAUUCAGAGUUCGUAUGCGAAAGUUGUAGCUGUUUUAUGAACAGACUCCAAAUUAGAGGACAAAAUGGUCUGAAAGUGGGAAAAAUUUGUGGCGGUGGCUAGAAAUUGAUAGAAACGGUGGGAAAAACACACGAACUGGACUCUAACAAGACCUAACCAGCAACAAGACCUCAACUAGGACACAAACUCAACACCGCGGACUCUAAAACUGAAAUAUGCAAAGGCUAUGGCGCGGAAGGGUUGUAGGACAGGAAAACAAUAUGGCACUAUACUUAUGGGACAAACACAAGAACACUCGAAACUAAGAGUAGAUGUGAACCUAACGGUAUACCUAAAGCUUUGAUUACCACUUGAUGAGAAGAAGGGUGGCCCGAUCUUCCGAAAGGUUCUAGUAACUCUCGAUUUGGUGGAGACGAGACACAAAUCGAUCCGGCUUGCGAACAACACGAUCCGAAACCCUGCAAUUUUAUUUUAUUUUUUCGAUAUUUUUCUUUUACUUAGGAGCACUGAAUAAGUAACCAUAGAAAAUUUGAGCUUAAACAAGUGAAAUACGUGGCCUGCGGAAUUUUUUGAAGAUUGCAAAAAAUGUGAAAAAACAUCACGAGGUGAAAACUCAAACUUCGGAGGCAAAUUUAGAGAUUCUAAAAUUUUCAAACCUGCCAAUGGAAGGAACAGACAGAUCAAAAAAAAAAAAUUAGAUCGAUUUUGCUAUAUGGAACGUUGAAAUCGGAGUUCAUAUGUGAAAGUUAUGGUUGUUUUAAUAACGGACUCCGAAUUAGAGGACAAAACGGUGCGAAAGUGGGAAAAAAUUUCGGCAGUGGCUAGAAAUUGAUGGAAACGGUGGGGAAAAACACACGAACUGGACUCUAACAAGACCUAACCAGCAACAAGACAUCGACUAGGACACAAACUCAACACUGCGGACUCUAAGACUAAAAUAUGCAAAGGCUAUGGCUUGAAAGGUUUGUAGGACAGGAAAACGAUAUGACACUGGACUUAUGGGACGAACACAAGAACACUCAAAACUAAGGAUAGAUGUGAAUCUAACGAUAUACCUAAAGCUUUGAUUACCACUUGAUGAGAACAAGGGUGGCCUGAUCUUUCGAAAGGUUCUAGUAACUCUCGAUUUGGUGGAGACGAGACACAAAUCGAUUUGGCUUUCGAACAACACGAUAAGAAACCCUGCAUUUUUUUUAUUUUUUUUAUAUUUUUCUUUUACCUAGGAGCACUAAAAAGUAACCAAAAAAAAUUUGUGCUUAAACAAGUGAAAGACGUGGCCUGCAGAAUUUUCUGAAGAUUGCGAAAAAUGUGAAAAAAACUUCAUGAGGAGAAAACUCAAACUUUGGAGGCAAAUUUCAAGAUAAAAUUAUCGAACCCGCUAAAGUCACAGACAGACAGAUCUAAAAUUUUUUUAUGAUCGAAUUUGAUAUAGGUAACGUUGAAAUCAGAGUUUGUAUGUGAAAGUUAUGGUUUGUUUACAAAUGCACUCCGAAAUAGAGGAAAAACGGUCCAGAAGUGGGAAAAAUUUGCGGCGCUGGCUAGAAAUUGAUGAAAAUAGUGGGGAAAAACACACGAACAGGACUCUAACAAGACCCAACCAGCAACAAGACCUCGACCAGGACACAAACUCAACACUGCGGACUCUGAAACUGAAAUAUGCAAAGGCUACGGCGCGGAAGGGAUGUAGGACAAGAAAACGAUAUGGCACUAGACUUAUGGGACGAACACAAGAACACUCGAAACUAAGGGUAGAUGUGAACCUAACGGUAUACCUGAAGCUUUGAUUACCACUUGAUGAGAACAAGGGUGGCCCGAUCUUCCGAAAGGUUCUGGUAACUCUCGAUUUAGUGGAGACGAGACACAAAUCGAUCCGGCUUCAGAACAACACGAUCCAAAACCCUACAAUUUUUUUUAUUUUUUUUGAUAUUUUAUUUUACUUAGGAGCACUAAAGAAGUAACCACAGAAAAUUUGAGCUUAAACAAGUGAAAGACAUGGCCUGCGGAAUUUUCUGAAGAUUGCGAAAAAUGUGAAAAAAACUUCACGAGGUUAAAACUCAAACUUCGGAGGCGAAUUUGGAGAUUCUAAAAUUUUCAAGCCCGCUAGUACUAGGG
RNAcentral lists this long non-coding RNA (4974 nucleotides) under Sorghum bicolor (sorghum). RNAcentral's name for it is "long non-coding RNA (SBIC_LNC004788)". Lineage: Eukaryota; Viridiplantae; Streptophyta; Magnoliopsida; Poales; Poaceae. The record is from RNAcentral.